RNAcentral lists this ribosomal RNA (414 nucleotides) under Triticum aestivum (bread wheat). RNAcentral's name for it is "partial small subunit ribosomal RNA". Lineage: Eukaryota; Viridiplantae; Streptophyta; Magnoliopsida; Poales; Poaceae. The record is from RNAcentral.
AUGCAUAAGCUUGUAAAUGUUCAUUAUUUGGACAAGUCGACAUUUAUGCUUGGAAAUGACGAUGAAGGGGAAGAGGCUAUGGUUUUUGACACAAGUCCAAGCUUUGAUGAUCUUGUAGUUAAAGUGAAAAGCGUUUUACAUUGGAAUGACUCAAAUGCCAUGGUUAAGCUUAUUGGGAGGUAUGACGUUGGAUUGGGAGUAAAGUCCCGAUUAAAGAGUAUGCCCAUCACCUCCCAAUUGCAUUGGAAUGUGUACAAGGAAAAAGUAGACGCAUCACAAGACAAGUCUCUUGAGAUCUUUGCCACAAAGGUUGAUCCUCCUCCUCCUUUGCAAAUUGAUCUCAACCGCAAUGCAUCCUCCCCCAUACAUGAUGAUAGUGCCGAGGUGUAUGUCCCCAAUUGUUCUAGCCAACCA